UUGUGGCAUCUGGCGCUGACACGACCAACUCUCUCUGUCUGUCCCCAACAGUUUAUUUAUUUCGCAAGAAUUCCGUGGAGGAAACAUUUUUUUCCAUGUUUGAAGUCUUGCUUGGUGAUGGAAUGAGUCAUUUUCUGAAGCAAUGAGAUGGAAGGAACCUUCAUAGCAUCCAACAAACAAGGAUUUCUAUGAGGCAUUGUGUUUUCCACAUUGCAGACCUCUGUAUCACCAACUUAAAUGAGCCUCCACCUGUCCACCAUGAUCUCCCCCAAACUUAAUCCACACCUCUUCUUCAGGAAUUGCCCCAUCGUGAGUUGUGAGAAAUCCAUUCCUGUGGAAAGAUGAUGGAACAUGAACAUAUGGUCUGUGACUCUGCUAUGGACCUAGUGAAUCACUGUUGACUGUCCAUGGUUCAAGUGAGGAUUGGCAAACCUGGUCAUUUCUUGAUUACCUACAGAAUGCAAUUGCAACAUAUGCAAAAUCUUAUGCAGGAAUGGGGCUAUAGCAGUGAUGGGACACUACCUUUGACUGUGAAGAUCAGACGAUGCAAUUCCCGUUGGUCAGCCCCCCCCCCCCCCCCCCACCCCAAGGAGCCAUGCACUGCCAGAGAUCUUGAGCCAGGUCUUCAGUGGUUAUCCAUUGAUAAGAAGAACGGAGAUAAUAAAGACAGUGAGGUCAGUAUGACAUUAAUUCUCAUUGAAAAUUACCUAUUCAUCUGUCUGUACUGUGGACCAAUUAAGGUGCCCAUCAUUCAUCAUGGCCAAUGUCUUUGCUGCAUCUUGUUAUGUAAAUCUCUUUGAAUGACUAUUAAACAAGAAGAAGCUUUCUUCACAUGUAUAAGCUCUAAAGCAUAUAUACAUAACAAUUUUAAUUUAAUAUUUUGAUGGCCAUUCAUUAGAAGA
Molecule: long non-coding RNA, 902 nt
Organism: Lytechinus variegatus (green sea urchin)
Lineage: Eukaryota; Metazoa; Echinodermata; Echinoidea; Temnopleuroida; Toxopneustidae
Exons: 3
Source: RefSeq, a predicted model, not a curated record